UACGUAGGGUGCGAGCGUUACUCGGAAUUACUGGGCGUAAAGCGUGCGUAGGUGGUUCGUUAAGUCUGAUGUGAAAGCCCUGGGCUCAACCUGGGAAUGGCAGUGGAUACUGGACGGCUAGAAUGCGGUAGAGGGUAGUGGAAUUCCCGGUGUAGCAGUGAAAUGCGUAGAGAUCGGGAGGAACACCAGUGGCGAAGGCGGCUUUCUGGUCUGUAACUGACGCUGAGGCGCGAAAAGCGUGGGGAGCAAACAGGG
This 255-nucleotide ribosomal RNA is filed under the name uncultured bacterium. RNAcentral's name for it is "partial 16S ribosomal RNA". It matches the Rfam family "Bacterial small subunit ribosomal RNA", at positions 524 to 777 of the family's 1533-position model. The record is from RNAcentral.